Stegostoma tigrinum is the source of this 2962-nucleotide long non-coding RNA. RefSeq lists it as uncharacterized. The transcript is spliced from 5 exons. Lineage: Eukaryota; Metazoa; Chordata; Chondrichthyes; Orectolobiformes; Stegostomatidae. The record is from RefSeq and is a predicted model, not a curated record.
CGAACGAUUAGCAGACACAGAAAGCCACUCCUGUGCCUUUGACAAUGGAAACAGGUCAGAUUUCUGAUUGUAUCUACAGCAGCUUCAUACAGCAGUAUCUCAUGAAAACAUCAGUAUACUUGGACAUAACCUAUUGUUGUUCAGCUGUAACACAGACUAAUCAGGAUACUCAAGAUAUGCAACAUAAAUAUGCAGCAAUGGAACAGUAAAACCAAAAUUAUUGAAGGUUGAAUCUGAUUGGUCUUCCGAAGAAAUGAAGCAGAGAAUGGCUGUCACCUGUUUUGUGAGUUAUAAAAAGCACAACGUCCAGAUCUCAUCUCGUCUCCUCUUCCCAAACUCUUCUGCUGAGCAUUUGCCAGAGGAGGGGGUCUCUACUUCAGCUGAAGUUAUGAUGGGUUUCCAGGACAGUCUCAGUGGAGUGAAAAGUGAAUGGGAGCAGCGCAGUGAGGAAGUCACACUUCACUUCAUCACAUGAACAGAACUGAAGUUCAUGGGAAUCAGGGAAAAGGUUGGCGUUGGUUGGAAUCAUACUGAGGACAAAUGAAAUUAUUGUGGUCGAUGAAGGCAAAUCAUUUCUGACCCAUGGCAUUGCGACAGGAGUUCCUCAGGAAAAGCUCACCUAUCUUCAGAGGCCUCAUCAAAGAACUUCUGUUGUUCCUGAAUUCAGAAGAGGAAUGUUUGCCAAUGAUUGCAGAGUGUUCAAUACCAUUCAAGAUCUUCAGAUACUGAAGCAUUUCAUGCCUGAAUGUUGUAAGAUCUGGACAACAUUCAGGUUUGGGCUGAAAAAUGGCAAGUCAUAUUCACAUCAUAAAUGCCAGGCAAUGACCAUCUUCAAUAGGAGAGAAUUAGACCAUCAUCUCAAGACAACAAUAUUUCCAUCAAUUAAUCUCUCACUUGAAGGUUGCCAAUGACCAGAAAUUUAAAUGGACCAGCCAUAUUAAAACUCUGGAGAAGAGAUGAUCACAAGCAAAUUCUGCAGUGCCUCCAGAAUCCUGUCGAUCAUCUAUGACACAAGUUAGACAGUGAUGGAAUACUCUCCACUUGCUGGAUGAUUGCAGCUCCACAAAGCUCAAGAAGCUCACCACGUCCAAGAGGAAGCAGCUCAUUCAAUUGACAUCAUCCAUCAGCCAUAUUAAACAUUCACUCUCCUCACAACUGAUACAUUAUAGCAGCAAUGCAUGCUAUAUACUGUUUGCAGUGCAGGAACAUCUAUCCUUCCUUUGAAAUCACCUCUUAAAUGCAAAACCUCUACUACCUUGAAGGGCAACAACAGCUGACCUCUGCAAAUCUCAGCACCUGUGAACACCCCUCCAUGCUGACUCAGAAUUAUCAUCUCUUUGCUUUGGUUGGGUCAAAAGCCUUGAACUCCCUUCCUAAUAGCAUUAUGGAUGUAUGUACGCUACAAGAAAUGCAGCGAUUUAAGAAAGCAGUGCACCCCUGUUUUCUCAAGGACACUUAGGAAUGGACAACAAAUUCUGGUCUUGCUACUCGUGCUUCAGCAUUAUUCAGCCAAUAAAUUGUAUUGACAUUGGUGAUUGGAUUGGGGUGCGUGACUCAAAACAAUUUCAUUAAUAUUCACAGAAGCAUUGUAAAAUGAAGCAGAAUGCUGAACUACAUGAACAGUUACUGGUCAAAGCAAAAACUUUAAGAAUUUUCACAAAGGAAGAAAGUGAUGCAGAGAGGUGGAGAGAAGUAGAGAAGGUAUUUGAGAUCUUAGAAUGGACAGACCUGCAAAGAUAAAUCAUACAUAGAUUAGAGGCAAGCUAUUUACCUUCUCGAAAAAAAAAGUAAUCUUCACUCAGUCAGGGAGAGAUCCAGAGUGAGGCACAGCCUAAGUGAAAAUGUAGUUUGGGGAAUUUGGAGGCAAUAUGGGAAGUAUGUGCAGACGGGAAGAAGUACUUUUUGCUUGUUUGUUGAUUGGGUCGUAGUUUGUAAGGUUUUUUUUCAAACAAGAUAAAUUGAAGCCAAAAGGAGCCCAGCACAAAUAGGGGAAACAUUUACAGGCUACAAACGAAAAGACCAAUUUGAUUUUUGUUUUAAAAAAAUCAACUUAAGAACUAAAUAAUGAAAACAGAGAUGCUGGGCUGGGCAAUGCAUUGGAGCUGCAUGAUUUAAGAGUUGUUGAACUCCAUUGUGGCUCAUCAUGACCACAUCUGUACCAGGUGUUCAUUGCUUGAGGAGCUCCAGUUCAGAGUUGAUUAACUACCUAAAUUCAGCCAGUAGUCACAGACUGGAGGGUGUGACUACCAUUGAGGCAAGUAGAGGAAUACAAGAGGUAGUGCUGAAGGAUCCUCAGCCCUUACGCUUGUCGUAAUCAUACAGUAUGAAAACAGAUCCUUUAGUCCAACUCAUCUGCAUCAACACAACAUCCCAAUUUGACCUAAUUCCAUUUUCCAGCAUUUGGCCCAUAUAUCUCUGAACCUGUCCUUUUCAUAGCCCGUGCAGCUUAUUCCAUACAUACACCACCCUCUGCAUGAAAAAGUCACCCCUCAAGUUCUUUCUAAAUAUUCUGCCUCUCACCUUAAACCUAUACUCUCUAGUUUUGGACUCCCCCACCCUAGGAAAAAGACCUUCGCUAUUUACCCUAUCCAUGCCCCUCAAAGUUUUAUAAGCCUCUAAAAAGUCCCCCUAUAAUGAUGCUGGGGCUUUAAGAGGUGUGUUUUGUCCUGGUUUCUUUUAGAGACACAGAUUAGGGUUCAGGUGAGAGCUGUCUAUGGGAAGUUAAAUAACUUGAGAGGCCUCAGGAAUUUUUUUUAAGAAGUUAGAAGCAGCCUGAGUGGGUGUGAUCAAGCAUUCACAGAUCCAAAAUUUUUAGUUUGCUUUCAGCAGUUGCUGUUAGGAUCUUGAAGAAGUGGAAACUAUCUUUUUCCUCAUGUGAUUAUAACAAAAAGCUGGGGGUUGUCUUCUUUGGCUGCCAGAUUGUAUGUGAGACAGAUCUGUUUUCUGAAUUUGCCUGAUACCA